AUUAAAACAGAAGACCUGCUCCACCUGCUGUUCUACUGGUUGUAACAGAUUAUGGAAAAGCGUCUCAUGUUGAAGUUCACCUGUUCCUUGGUCAGACGAUGAAUAUUGAAGAAUUUUAGAACCAUUAGAGAAAACCCAGCGCUGGUUUCUGAUCCCAGAUUCAGUUUCUGCAGAUCAAUAAUGUCCCAGGUUGGAUCUCCUGAACCUGUAAACCUCCACCUCCAACACCACCAGUUUUUUUCAUUGAGUCAAUUCAUAACAGCAGAGCUUUGAUGAGCUUUGUGCUGAUGGAAGGAGGAUCAGGAAUAGAGCAGAGGACCUGCUGACCUACUGGUUCUAGUAGAUUCUAUAAAUGCAUGACUGAAACUAGUCAACAGCACUGGACCAAUGAGGAGAGAGGAGACACAGAGGACUGAGGAGACACAGGAAAUCCUGCUGGAAAUCCAGAGACGUUUCCUGAUCCCAUGACGAUGAGUUGAUCAGAUACGGUGACCAACAGGUGCCAACGUGCAGCAAACAGAUUCAAAGAUGGCCUUUCAACCCUGGAUGUCAUUUAUGCUUUGGAGCUUCGUGCUUCUGUGUUCAGGCCCUUUAUGUGCACAAGUGUGGAAAAGCUGACAUCAGAAAUGUUUGAGGAAAUCUUUGAGGUUCAGCUCAGUGAAAAGGGCAGCACCAGACGACAAGAAGAAACCAGACUGCUAGGAUUCUCCUAGAGACAGACCAAACCUCGCUUUCCUGUUCAAACACUAUCAAAAUACCAAAGCCCAAGACAUACAAUCAGUUCCAAAAGAGACAUGAACUUUGGGAUACAAAACUCUUUGGACUUCAAAUACAGAAUCACAAAACUCAAAUGUGGAUGUUGGCCUGUGAAGGAAGAUGUUAACUUGUGAAACCUGCUCUGUCAAAGUUCUGACUCUGCUGUGUUGUGGUUGUUGGACACACACCUUUGAACUUUAGACUCGUUCAUUUCCGAGUCUUGUGUAGUUUUCCACAUAGGAUUCCCAAGUCAGUGGAUGCACUAGGCCACUGUCUCUGGAGGUCCUCAAACUGUCCCUAAAGACGGUCAUGGCCACAUUGACUGCUGUUUGACUCGGUCAUAAACUGUCCCAAUUCCUCCUGGGAGUCUGGGAACCCACAGUCUGUUCUGCCAAACCGAGGACUAAAAUACACACAGGACGCAUAGAUUAGUUAUAUAUUUACAUUUCUUCAUUCAACUGUCACUACCAACUGUUAUGAGUAUUGUUGAAAACUGUUGUAAUGCUUGAUUGUAUUUAUGUCAUCAGAAAUUGUUACAA
Xiphophorus maculatus (southern platyfish) is the source of this 1295-nucleotide long non-coding RNA. RefSeq lists it as uncharacterized. The transcript is spliced from 4 exons. The record is from RefSeq and is a predicted model, not a curated record. Lineage: Eukaryota; Metazoa; Chordata; Actinopteri; Cyprinodontiformes; Poeciliidae.